Molecule: long non-coding RNA, 201 nt
Filed under: Trifolium pratense (red clover)
Lineage: Eukaryota; Viridiplantae; Streptophyta; Magnoliopsida; Fabales; Fabaceae
Description: long non-coding RNA (TPRA_LNC006575)
Source: RNAcentral
UUCAAAGGUGCAUGCAUAAGUAGAAAUGUAACUGACACGGUUUUAUAAUUAUUUUUUCGCAGUUCACACACAAAAUAAUGACUUAAGGGUAAAAAGCCAGUUACACUAUUUCUUAAUCAAUCGAGUAAAAAUUACGUGAAAUUUGUACCAAACAAAAAAUAAAAAAUUAUUUAAUUGUCGCAGUUUGACUAUGUUUAUUAU